Molecule: transfer RNA, 90 nt
Filed under: Asticcacaulis endophyticus
Lineage: Bacteria; Pseudomonadati; Pseudomonadota; Alphaproteobacteria; Caulobacterales; Caulobacteraceae
Also listed under: 4 other names
Description: tRNA-Ser
Rfam family: tRNA
About the family: Transfer RNA (tRNA) molecules are approximately 80 nucleotides in length. Their secondary structure includes four short double-helical elements and three loops (D, anti-codon, and T loops).
Source: RNAcentral
GGACAGGUGGCGGAGUGGUCGAUCGCGCACGCUUGGAAAGCGUGUGUACGUGCAAGCGUACCGAGGGUUCGAAUCCCUCUCUGUCCGCCA